This 72-nucleotide transfer RNA is filed under the name Boodleopsis sp. FL1161. RNAcentral describes it as "tRNA-Gln". It matches the Rfam family "tRNA". Rfam says of the family: Transfer RNA (tRNA) molecules are approximately 80 nucleotides in length. Their secondary structure includes four short double-helical elements and three loops (D, anti-codon, and T loops). The record is from RNAcentral. Lineage: Eukaryota; Viridiplantae; Chlorophyta; Ulvophyceae; Bryopsidales; Halimedaceae.
UGGGAUAUCGCCAAGUGGUAAGGCGGUGGGUUUUGGUCCCGCUAUUCGGAGGUUCGAGUCCUUCUAUCCCAG